AGUGAACGCUGGCGGUAGGCCUAACACAUGCAAGUCGAACGGCAGCACAGUAAGAGCUUGCUCUUACGGGUGGCGAGUGGCGGACGGGUGAGGAAUACAUCGGAAUCUACUUUUUCGUGGGGGAUAACGUAGGGAAACUUACGCUAGUACCGCAUACGACCUACGGGUGAAAGCAGGGGAUCUUCGGACCUUGCGCGAUUGAAUGAGCCGAUGUCGGAUUAGCUAGUUGGCGGGGUAAAGGCCCACCAAGGCGACGAUCCGUAGCUGGUCUGAGAGGAUGAUCAGCCACCCGGGAACUGGGACAGGGUCCAGACUCCUACGGGAGGCAGCAGUGGGGAAUAUGGGACAAUGGCCGCAGGCCUGCUCCAGCCAUACCGCGGGGGUGAAGAAGGCCUUCGGGUUUUAAAGCCCUUUUGUUGGGAAAGAAAAGCAGCAGGUUAAUACCCCGCUGUUCUGACGGUACCCAAAGAAAAAGCACCGGCUAACUUCGUG
Molecule: ribosomal RNA, 492 nt
Filed under: uncultured bacterium
Lineage: Bacteria
Description: partial 16S ribosomal RNA
Rfam family: Bacterial small subunit ribosomal RNA
Source: RNAcentral